RNAcentral lists this long non-coding RNA (1365 nucleotides) under Ursus maritimus (polar bear). RNAcentral describes it as "lncRNA (ENSUMAG00000006432.1)". The record is from RNAcentral. Lineage: Eukaryota; Metazoa; Chordata; Mammalia; Carnivora; Ursidae.
AUCUAUGGUCUCUCCAAACAAUUUCUAGUAGUGAAAGAAGAAUAUGCCGUCAUGUACAAGAAGUCUUUUUGUCCAGGAUAAAGGAAAUGGGUAAUAAGCAAAUUCAAGAUAAAGUUAGCAUCAAUCCUUUACCCCGUCAAAUUCGUCAUGCAGAUACAGAGGCAGGAUGGUGUGCUUUGGCCUUAGGACAAAGUGUCUGGUCAUAUUUGUGAACUGAGACUUGAAAAUGGACAUGAACUGUUGUAUAUGAAGAAGGUGCUCCGACACAUUGGAAGUCAGUGAUUGGAACAUCAACGCAGUAGCUUCCUGGUUACCGAGAACCAGUGGUUUCACUGGAGUGCUAUCAGCUACACCGGAAGGAACAACAGAGAAUGAAAAAGAAGGUAAAAGGAAGCUGAGUGAAGGAGUUUGGUUGAGUCCUGUUUCUUGGAUAAGCAAAGGUCAGUCAAACAUUCCAGAAUAUCUGCUUGCUAAGACAACUUGUGCAGGUCUGAGUCACUCUUUUGGAUAUUAUUUAAUGCCUAGACUAAGUAUUCUUUUUUUAUGAAUUUUAAAAAUUUUAACACAGUUGAAAUCAGUGUGCCAGGUUCAUUUCAGCUCCUUCCUUGCCAAACCGAGGGGCAGGGGCUGCUUCAGUUUCUCUGCCUUCUCUUUUUCUGUGAUGACAAGAUGUGAAGGUAUCCGCUGCAUUGAACUUUAGACUUCACCUUAUCCUUAUUUUUCUUGAUCUCAACAGAUUUGGCAUCCUUUUGCCUGGCUGUGAGCAGAAAGUCCUUGAUUUUAUCCAUUUUUUGAGGCAUGGCUCUGAGAGGCGCAGGAGAACGUGCGGCUGGCACUGCGAGCUGUAAGAAGCAAGGAGUAAACUAAGUCUUUGAGUAUUUCCUGAGCAAUGAAAAGUCAUGGUGGUAUGUGUGAAUGGUUUAAAUCUGUAGCUCUCACAUUGUAGCAGGCAUCAGAGUAAUCUGGAGAACCUUUAAAACACAGAUUGCUUGGGCCCGUCCCCAGAGUUUCUGUUCAGAAGGUCAGGGGCAGAGCCUGAGAAUUUGCAUUUUUAACAAGCUCCUAGGUGAUGUAGAUACCACUGGUUGGGGGACUACACUUUGUGAUCCAUUAGUAUCUCCUUGUUUCCAUGCUUAUAUUUUAUAAUAAUCCUAUCAAAUAGCUAUGAGUAAGCUCCAUUCCAACCCUCAAUUCCCCAACCCUUCAAAUAAUAGAUGGAGUUAAGUAAAGCUUUUAAAAGUGACCAGGGGAGAGUCAUGGAAAUGAAGUCCAUGCUCAGAGGGACUGCUCUUUUUGAGAACCUGGCUAGCUUCUUUUGAAAUAAGCUGAAUUCUAGUGCUUGUGGCAGAGACUAUGAAACACAAG